CAGCCGCCGCGGUAAUACGGAGGGUGCAAGCGUUAAUCGGAAUUACUGGGCGUAAAGCGUGCGUAGGCGGUUCGUUAAGUCUGUUGUGAAAGCCCCGGGCUCAACCUGGGAAUGGCAAUGGAUACUGGCGAGCUAGAGUGUGGUAGAGGAUAGUGGAAUUUCCGGUGUAGCAGUGAAAUGCGUAGAGAUCGGAAGGAACAUCUGUGGCGAAGGCGACUAUCUGGGCCAACACUGACACUGAGGCACGAAAGCGUGGGGAGCAAACAGGAUUAGAUACCCCCGUAGUCCCUGUCUCUUAUAC
RNAcentral lists this ribosomal RNA (301 nucleotides) under uncultured bacterium. RNAcentral's name for it is "partial 16S ribosomal RNA". It matches the Rfam family "Bacterial small subunit ribosomal RNA", at positions 509 to 807 of the family's 1533-position model. The record is from RNAcentral.